UCCCUCUCAGGAUUGCACCUGGAGAGUUUCCAGUACUCUUCCAGUCUUGGCUUUGGGAGGGAGAGUCAAGCAGAUGUAUAUCCAUGCCAAUCCUAGCUUGGGCAGUGGCUAGCGAGUGAAAGGCAAUCUGGCACAAGU
Small nucleolar RNA from Ornithorhynchus anatinus (platypus), 138 nucleotides. The record is from RefSeq and is a predicted model, not a curated record. NCBI's taxonomy places the organism in Eukaryota, Metazoa, Chordata, Mammalia, Monotremata, Ornithorhynchidae.